This 844-nucleotide ribosomal RNA is filed under the name uncultured bacterium. Its description in RNAcentral is "partial 16S ribosomal RNA". The record is from RNAcentral.
CUCCCCAGGCGGAGUACUUAAUGCGUUAGCUGCGGCACCGAGGGGGGUAACCCCCGACACCUAGUACUCAUCGUUUACGGCGUGGACUACCAGGGUAUCUAAUCCUGUUUGCUCCCCACGCUUUCGUGCCUCAGUGUCAGUUACAGUCCAGAAAGCCGCCUUCGCUACUGGUGUUCCUCCUAAUAUCUACGCAUUUCACCGCUACACUAGGAAUUCCACUUUCCUCUCCUGCACUCAAGUCUCCCAGUUUCAAGAGCUUACUACGGUUAAGCCGUAGCCUUUCACUCCUGACUUAAGAGACCACCUACGCACCCUUUACGCCCAGUAAAUCCGGAUAACGCUAGCCCCCUACGUAUUACCGCGGCUGCUGGCACGUAGUUAGCCGGGGCUUCCUCCUCAAGUACCGUCAUUAUCUUCCUUGAGGACAGAGUUUUACGACCCGAAGGCCUUCAUCACUCACGCGGCGUUGCUGCAUCAGGCUUUCGCCCAUUGUGCAAUAUUCCCCACUGCUGCCUCCCGUAGGAGUUUGGACCGUGUCUCAGUUCCAAUGUGGCCGAUCACCCUCUCAGGUCGGCUACUGAUCGUCGCCUUGGUAAGCCGUUACCUUACCAACUAGCUAAUCAGACGCGGGUCCAUCCUAUACCGCCUCAGCUUUGAUAAGAAAUCCAUGCGAAUCUCUUAUAUUAUCUCGUAUUAGCAUACCUUUCGGUAUGUUAUCCGUGUGUAUAGGGCAGGUUACCCACGCGUUACUCACCCGUCCGCCGCUCUUUACCGAAGUAAAUCGCUCGACUUGCAUGUGUUAGGCACGCCGCCAGCGUUCAUCCUGAGCCAUGAUCAAACUCUA